GACAGCUUGUCAAAACGCAAUUUCUGAUUCAGUAGGUCUGGGUUGGGCUUCAGAUUCUGCAUUUUUAACAAGCUC
RNAcentral lists this microRNA precursor (75 nucleotides) under Ovis aries (sheep). Its description in RNAcentral is "miRNA (ENSOARG00000022413.1)". Lineage: Eukaryota; Metazoa; Chordata; Mammalia; Artiodactyla; Bovidae. The record is from RNAcentral.